GACGAACGCUGGCGGCGUGCUUAACACAUGCAAGUCGAACGGAAAGGCCCUGCUUUUGUGGGGUGCUCGAGUGGCGAACGGGUGAGUAACACGUGAGUAACCUGCCCUUGACUUUGGGAUAACUUCAGGAAACUGGGGCUAAUACCGGAUAGGAGCUCCUGCUGCAUGGUGGGGGUUGGAAAGUUUCGGCGGUUGGGGAUGGACUCGCGGCUUAUCAGCUUGUUGGUGGGGUAGUGGCUUACCAAGGCUUUGACGGGUAGCCGGCCUGAGAGGGUGACCGGCCACAUUGGGACUGAGAUACGGCCCAGACUCCUACGGGAGGCAGCAGUGGGGAAUAUUGCACAAUGGGCGGAAGCCUGAUGCAGCAACGCCGCGUGCGGGAUGACGGCCUUCGGGUUGUAAACCGCUUUCGCCUGUGACGAAGCGUGAGUGACGGUAAUGGGUAAAGAAGCACCGGCUAACUACGUGCCAGCAGCCGCGGUGAUACGUAGGGUGCGAGCGUUGUCCGGAUUUAUUGGGCGUAAAGGGCUCGUAGGUGGUUGAUCGCGUCGGAAGUGUAAUCUUGGGGCUUAACCCUGAGCGUGCUUUCGAUACGGGUUGACUUGAGGAAGGUAGGGGAGAAUGGAAUUCCUGGUGGAGCGGUGGAAUGCGCAGAUAUCAGGAGGAACACCAGUGGCGAAGGCGGUUCUCUGGGCCUUUCCUGACGCUGAGGAGCGAAAGCGUGGGGAGCGAACAGGCUUAGAUACCCUGGUAGUCCACGCUGUAAACGGUGGGUACUAGGUGUGGGGUCCAUUCCACGGGUUCCGUGCCGUAGCUAACGCUUUAAGUACCCCGCCUGGGGAGUACGGCCGCAAGGCCAAAACUCAAAGGAAUUGACGGGGCCCCGCACAAGCGGCGGAGCAUGCGGAUUAAUUCGAUGCAACGCGUAGAACCUUACCUGGGUUUGACAUGGAUCGGGAGUGCUCAGAGAUGGGUGUGCCUCUUUUGGGGUCGGUUCACAGGUGGUGCAUGGCUGUCGUCAGCUCGUGUCGUGAGAUGUUGGGUUAAGUCCCGCAACGAGCGCAACCCUUGUUCACUGUUGCCAGCACGUUAUGGUGGGGACUCAGUGGAGACCGCCGGGGUCAACUCGGAGGAAGGUGGGGAUGACGUCAAGUCAUCAUGCCCCUUAUGUCCAGGGCUUCACGCAUGCUACAAUGGCUGGUACAGAGAGUGGCGAGCCUGUGAGGGUGAGCGAAUCUCGGAAAGCCGGUCUCAGUUCGGAUUGGGGUCUGCAACUCGACCUCAUGAAGUCGGAGUCGCUAGUAAUCGCAGAUCAGCAACGCUGCGGUGAAUACGUUCCCGGG
Molecule: ribosomal RNA, 1343 nt
Filed under: uncultured bacterium
Lineage: Bacteria
Description: 16S ribosomal RNA
Rfam family: Bacterial small subunit ribosomal RNA
Source: RNAcentral